Molecule: ribosomal RNA, 492 nt
Filed under: uncultured bacterium
Lineage: Bacteria
Description: partial 16S ribosomal RNA
Rfam family: Bacterial small subunit ribosomal RNA
Source: RNAcentral
AGUGAACGCUGGCGGUAGGCCUAACACAUGCAAGUCGAACGGCAGCACAGUAAGAGCUUGCUCUUACGGGUGGCGAGUGGCGGACGGGUGAGGAAUACAUCGGAAUCUACUUUUUCGUGGGGGAUAACGUAGGGAAACUUACGCUAAUACCGCAUCCGACCUACGGGUGAAAGCAGGGGAUCUUCGGACCUUGCGCGAUUGAAUGAGCCGAUGUCGGAUUAGUUAGUUGGCGGGGUAAAGGCCCACCAAGGCGACGAUCCGUAGCUGGUCUGAGGGGAUGAUCAGCCACACUGGAACUGAGACACGGUCCAGACUCCUACGGGAGGCAGCAGUGGGGAAUAUUGGACAAUGGGCGCAAGCCUGAUCCAACCAUACCGCGUGGGUGAAGAAGGCCUUCGGGUUGUAAAGCCCUUUUGUUGGGAAAGAAAAGCAGCAGGUUAAUACCCCGCUGUUCUGACGGUACCCAAAGAAUAAGCACCGGCUAACUUCGUG